UGGGAGUCUGGAGGAAGACCCAGAAGACACGAGCUCACCUGAGGAGACCAGGACGGGCUUCGAUGUGCAAUUCAGAGACAGCUCCCCUCUGGGAAUCACUCUUGCUGAGCACAUCACAGUCUGUGUCGUCUGCAGUACACAGUCAGAAUGGGGGACUCCGGGACCCAGCCACAGAGCUCUGGAAACAUUUCCUAAGUGUCCAUUCCACGUGAAGAACUGUGAACAUCACAGGAACGGCCAUCAGACAGACAGAAGAGGGACAUGGAUGGAGGAAGAGAACGCGUUCCGUGGCAGGGUUAGGACUCAGUCCAAAGACUUCAGUGUUUGGUACAGAAAGGAACGAUCCCCACGGGAUGGGGCCCAUGAUUUCAAGGAGAUUAAAGCUCUGUAAGGGUGGAGCCCCUCUGUGUUCUUCUACAGGGAGCCAGUACCAAGCCUGCGUCACAGUGAUCGCUUGUCCAAGUUGCCGAGGAAUCACGAGAGCAGCGGCAGAGUUCUCCACUUUGAGGGGGAAGGUCUAGGUUUGAGCCCCAAAUCCACUUUAUACCCCACCCCCGGGGGGCUCAUUUCCUUACCUGUAAGCAGAAAGUUGGAGAAGAGGGUCAUCAGCUCGUUCUUGGUUACACAGACAAGAGAGGCAGAACAAGGAUUGGAAUCCACGUCUCCAUGUCCAUGACUCAGGGAGGUGGUCCUCCUCGGUUCUAGGUUCCGUGAGCCUCCCAGCACUUACGUUCAUAUAAAUGCUGACGGGGGAUGGUAUGACACCAGGAUGAGUGAUGAGUAAAUAUGAGCUCCCACUGAAGCUGAGCUUGAGUUCCUGCUGAAAACUGGCUCCACGAGCACACACAGAGACAGCCCAAGCUAUUCCCUGACAUCCAGACCUCUCUCUUUCACAGGGAUGAUUUCCCCAGUGUAGACACUUGACAUACUUGAUGAUAGAUUGGUUAAUCACCUGCAGGUCCCAGAACACUGAGACCUCCCAAAGAUCCAAGCCAUGAGAUGCCCUAGGAGUGGUGGAGACAUUCACCCUGGGCGCCAGUUGGCGACCUACGGACAAGAAUCAGAGUCGAAGCUAUCACCAAGGGCCAGAGGGCCAGAGAAGGAGCUGGGCCAGUAAGGCAGAGAGAUGGAGCCCAGCCAGUGGGCAGCCACCCAGGGAGAAGAGGGGCAGAGGGCGAAGGGGCACAGCUAAGGCCUGCCCUGUGCUUUGGGAAGGGGUGCCCACCUCAAGGAGAUCAUGGAUUGGACGGCCACUGAAGCCAUGAGGUCUCCCAUGUCCACCUCCCUCCUGCUUCUCUCCUCACCAGCUCCUGACCACGUUCUACCGAGUCAUAGAAUGGAGCCUCCUGGUCAGGGGAUGAGAAAGGAGUCUUCCCAUUGAAGAAGGAAUCAGACAGGCGGGCCCGGAGGCUCGGCCCUCCAUAUGUGCUUCUGGGAUGAGAUCACAGACCCCAUGAAUUUGUGGAGCUUUCACAGUCUUUUAGGAGAACUGUUUUAUGGCUCCCCUUGACCCCUCUUCCUGGAAUCCCUCCUCUCAUCCCAGAUCACCAGGAAGAUGGAGAACGAGAUAGGAAGCAAUGGAACAAAGAAGCACGGACUCAGAUAGGAACAAAGGAGCACGGACUCAGGCCCUGCCCCUUGCUGGGCCUCCGUUGCAAAUGAGGGUUGAACUAAGUGAUUGCCAAGAUCCCUCUCAGUUCAGACUCUGGGACUUGGUAGGCCCAAGGGUCUGGAGAAGUCUCAGGUAUCGCCGGAGGCGAUCUCCCCGAAGGGAGGGCCUCUGGCUCUCUGGACCACUCCGUGGUACCCCAGUACCUUUCACAAGGGUCCGCUCACUUCAUCUCCUCAAACGCCAGAUCCUCCAGCCCCUGGUCAGCUUUCCCGGCCUCAGGAGCGACUCCCGAUUUGUUGAUGAGAAACAUCUGGCCCUGUGCCCCUCCCACCACUGCAGUGUAGACAGGUCAGAGGCAGGGGGAAGGAGAGCAGAGCCAGAGGCCUUAGCGGCGGGCCUGGGAAGCCCAGCGCUGCCCCUGCUCUCCCUGCGGCAGCCACGCCAGCUGAGGUCUUCUAGUGUUGAGCAGAUGCCCUAGAAAACUCCCGGCAGAUCUGAGAGUCUGGGGGGAGCUCAUGGGAAAUCCUCCAGGUGUUUGGAUAUAGAGGACCCAGAUGGCUCAUCCCCUUGUAUCUCCAUAAUGAACCCCUCAAAGCACAAACUCCAACCAUGGCAUUCUGUGGGGUGGAGACGGAGCCCUGGUGAGUUGUUUGGCAUUCAAGGCCUUCACAAGGCUCCUGGUCACUCUCCAUAUAAAAUGGUAGAGUGAAAGCAGACAGUUCCGCUGGACUCAGUUUCCCCAUUUGGACCACCCAAUGAUCCCUUCUCACUCUAGGAUCCUGUGAACCCGAACCACAGAUGCAGGGACUGACUCGUUCUGCCCAUGAUGCUGGCGUUGUGUGACCUGCUCCACAUCUCCUGAUAAGCCAGGACUGGAUGGCCACGUGUGCCCCACAUCCUGAACCACAAGAAAGACCUCUGGGCCCCUCCCUCUCCCCUCUCGCAUCCUCUAGACCUCAAGCUGCUGGCCACAUGACCUCCCCAAUAGAAACUCGAGUCCCAAACCCGGGAGGCCGCUGGCCCCCACGGGCAGCAAGCGGACGGUCCGAAGGUCAAGGGGCCUCUGCCCCCCGCCCCGGUCCGCGGCCCCCGCGACUCUCCCAGCACAGCCAUUGUUUGCUUUGCCACAACAAUAACCCUUCCCGAUGCACGUUAAGAAUGUGGGAGGGGGAGCUGUCCAGUGAUCUCAAAGCAUCUGGUUCUGAUUCCAGGGAGAUUAUGGAUACCGAAGG
Long non-coding RNA from Sarcophilus harrisii (Tasmanian devil), 2844 nucleotides. RefSeq lists it as uncharacterized. The transcript is spliced from 2 exons. The record is from RefSeq and is a predicted model, not a curated record. Lineage: Eukaryota; Metazoa; Chordata; Mammalia; Dasyuromorphia; Dasyuridae.